This 363-nucleotide ribosomal RNA is filed under the name Triticum aestivum (bread wheat). RNAcentral's name for it is "partial small subunit ribosomal RNA". Lineage: Eukaryota; Viridiplantae; Streptophyta; Magnoliopsida; Poales; Poaceae. The record is from RNAcentral.
AUGGUUUUUGAAGACGAGAGCAGCGAUGACAACUCAAGCCUCCCGUACAUGCACUCGGAAACCUCCACCGAUGGGCUCAACCAAGAAGUUCAGAAUUGUGGGUUUGUUCAAUGGGUUGAUGAGCAGUGGCCCCCAACAAUGGAGAAUGCAUUGCUGAAGCUUUGGUCAAUGGUUGAAGAGAGCAAGUCUGCUAGGGUGAAUGAUAAUCUUCAAAGUGCUUUAACUAUUCACCAUUUGACAGAAGAAAAGAAGAAGCUGGAUGCAGAUUAUGACAAGUUAGUGAAAGAUGUGCAUCAACUUGUGGACUUUCAGCAGGAAAGGGUUGUGGAUUUUAGUUAUCUACAGUCAGCUGUCACAUAUUAG